GGAGGAAAGCAGGGGAUCGAAAGACCUUAUGCUUUUGGAGCGGCCGAUGUCUGAUUAGCUAGUUGGUGAGGUAAAUGCCUACCAAGGCGACGAUCAGUAGUUGGUCUGAGAGGACGACCAGCCACACCGGGACUGAGACACGGCCCAGACUCCUACGGGGGGCAGCAGUGGGGAAUUUUGGACAAUGGGGGAAACCCUGAUCCAGCCAUGCCGCGUGAGUGAAGAAGGCCUUCGGGUUGUAAAGCUCUUUCAGUCGAGAAGAAAAGGUUGUGAUUAAUACUCACAAUCCAUGACGGUAUCGACAGAAGAAGCACCGGCUAACUACGUGCCAGCAGCCGCGGUAAUACGUAGGGUGCGAGCGUUAAUCGGAAUUACUGGGCGUAAAGGGUGCGCAGGCGGCUCUGUAAGUCAGAUGUGAAAUCCCCGGGCUUAACCUGGGAAUUGCGUUUGAAACUACAAGGCUAGA
This 466-nucleotide ribosomal RNA is filed under the name uncultured ammonia-oxidizing bacterium. RNAcentral's name for it is "bacterial SSU rRNA". It matches the Rfam family "Bacterial small subunit ribosomal RNA", at positions 198 to 645 of the family's 1533-position model. The record is from RNAcentral.